This 460-nucleotide ribosomal RNA is filed under the name uncultured bacterium. RNAcentral describes it as "partial 16S ribosomal RNA". It matches the Rfam family "Bacterial small subunit ribosomal RNA", at positions 28 to 523 of the family's 1533-position model. The record is from RNAcentral.
GAUGAACGCUGGCGGCGUGCCUAAUACAUGCAAGUCGAACGGUAAGGCCUCUUCGGAGGUACACGGGUGGCGGACGGCUGAGUAACGCGUAGGAAUGUACCCCAAAGUGAGGAAUAACCUCGAGAAAUCGAGGCUAAUACCGCAUGUGCUCUAAGGAGUAAAGCUUUAUGCGCUUUGGGAACAGCCUGCGUAAGAUUAGCUUGUUGGUGAGGUAAUGGCUCACCAAGGCGACGAUCUUUAGCUGGUCUGAGAGGAUGAUCAGCCAGACUGGGACUGAGACACGGCCCAGACUCCUACGGGAGGCAGCAGUAGGGAAUUUUCCACAAUGGACGAAAGUCUGAUGGAGCAACGCCGCGUGCAGGAUGAAUGCCCUUGGGUUGUAAACUGCUUUUAUAUGUGAAGAUAAUGACGGUAGCAUAUGAAUAAGGAUCGGCUAACUCCGUGCCAGCCGCCGCCGUAA